Molecule: ribosomal RNA, 460 nt
Filed under: uncultured bacterium
Lineage: Bacteria
Description: partial 16S ribosomal RNA
Rfam family: Bacterial small subunit ribosomal RNA
Source: RNAcentral
CCUACGGGAGGCAGCAGUGAGGAAUAUUGGUCAAUGGGCGCGAGCCUGAACCAGCCAAGUCGCGUGAGGGAUGAAGGUUCUAUGGAUCGUAAACCUCUUUUAUAAGGGAAUAGAGUGUGGGACGUGUCCUAUUUUGUAUGUACCUUAUGAGUAAGGAUCGGCUAACUCCGUGCCAGCAGCCGCGGUAAUACGGAGGAUCCGAGCGUUAUCCGGAUUUAUUGGGUUUAACGGGUGCGUAGGCGGCCUUUUAAGUCAGCGGUGAAAGCCUGUGGCUCAACCAUAGAAUUGCCGUUGAAACUGGGGGGCUUGAGUAUGUUUGAGGCAGGCGGAAUGCGGGGUGUAGCGGUGAAAUGCGUAGAUAUCACGCAGAACCCCGAUGGCGAAGGCAGCCGGCUAAGCGAUGACUGACGCUGAUGUACGAAAGCGUGGGGAUCAAACAGGAUUAGAUACCCGGGUAGUC